AGAGUUUGAUCCUGGCUCAGGAUGAACGCUGGCGGCGUGCUUAACACAUGCAAGUCGAACGAAGCAUAAGAAACGGAUUUCUUCGGAAUGAAAGAUUUUAUGACUGAGUGGCGGACGGGUGAGUAACGCGUGGAUAACCUACCUCAUACAGGGGGAUAACAGUUAGAAAUGACUGCUAAUACCGCAUAAGCGCACAGAACCACAUGGUUCGGUGUGAAAAACUCCGGUGGUAUGAGAUGGAUCCGCGUCUGAUUAGCUAGUUGGUAAGGUAAUGGCUUACCAAGGCGACGAUCAGUAGCCGACCUGAGAGGGUGAUCGGCCACAUUGGGACUGAGACACGGCCCAGACUCCUACGGGAGGCAGCAGUGGGGAAUAUUGCACAAUGGGGGAAACCCUGAUGCAGCGACGCCGCGUGAAGGAUGAAGUGUUUCGGCAUGUAAACUUCUAUCAGCAGGGAAGAAAAUGACGGUACCUGACUAAGAAGCCCCGGCUAACUACGUGCCAGCAGCCGCGGUAAUACAUAGGGGGCAAGCGUUAUCCGGAUUUAUUGGGUUUAAAGGGUGCGCAGGCGGGGAUUUAGGUCGGCGGUGAAAUUUCGGGGCUCAACCUCGAUAGUGCCGUUGAAACCGUUUCUCUUGAGUGCGGAUGAGGUAGGCGGAAUUUGUGGUGUAGCGGUGAAAUGCGUAGAUAUCACAAGGAACACCGAUUGCGGAGGCAGCUUACUAAACCGUUACUGACGCUCAUGCACGAAGGCGUGGGGAUCAAACAGGAUUAGAUACCCUGGUAGUCCACGCAGUAAACGAUGAUUACUUGCUGUUUGCGAUACACAGUAAGCGGCGUAGCGAAAGCGUUAAGUAAUCCACCUGGGGAGUACGUUCGCAAGAAUGAAACUCAAAGGAAUUGACGGGGGCCCGCACAAGCGGAGGAACAUGUGGUUUAAUUCGAUGAUACGCGAGGAACCUUACCCGGGCUUGAAAUGCAUUCGACGGGGUCGGAAACGGCCUUUCCCUUCGGGGCGGAUGCGUAGGUGCUGCAUGGUUGUCGUCAGCUCGUGCCGUGAGGUGUCGGCUUAAGUGCCAUAACGAGCGCAACCCCUGUCGUCAGUUGCCAUCGGUAUAAGCCGGGGACUCUGGCGAGACUGCCAUCGUAAGAUGCGAGGAAGGUGGGGAUGACGUCAAAUCAGCACGGCCCUUAUGUCCGGGGCGACACACGUGUUACAAUGGGCGGUACAGCGGGAAGCUACCCGGCGACGGGGAGCCGAUCCCGAAAUCCGCUCACAGUUCGGAUCGGAGUCUGCAACUCGACUCCGUGAAGUCGGAUUCGCUAGUAAUCGCGCAUCAGCCACGGCGCGGUGAAUACGUUCCCGGGCCUUGUACACACCGCUCGUCAAGCCAUGGAAGUCGGGGGUACCUGAAGUUCGUAACCCUUCGGGGAGCGACCCAGGGUAAAACCGGUGACUGGGGCUAAGUCGUAACAAGGUA
This 1481-nucleotide ribosomal RNA is filed under the name uncultured bacterium. RNAcentral's name for it is "partial 16S ribosomal RNA". It matches the Rfam family "Bacterial small subunit ribosomal RNA". The record is from RNAcentral.